AAGCCUCUAGAUAGAAAAUAGGUGCCCGUACCGCAAACCGACACAGGUAGUCAAGAUGAGAAUUCUAAGGUGAGCGAGCGAACUCUCGUUAAGGAACUCGGCAAAAUGACCCCGUAACUUCGGGAGAAGGGGUGCUCUUUAGGGUUAACGCCCAGAAGAGCCGCAGUGAAUAGGCCCAAGCGACUGUUUAUCAAAAACACAGGUCUCUGCUAAACCGUAAGGUGAUGUAUAGGGGCUGACGCCUGCCCGGUGCUGGAAGGUUAAGAGGAGUGGUUAGCUUCUGCGAAGCUACGAAUCGAAGCCCCAGUAAACGGCGGCCGUAACUAUAACGGUCCUAAGGUAGCGAAAUUCCUUGUCGGGUAAGUUCCGACCCGCACGAAAGGCGUAACGAUUUGGGCACUGUCUCAACGAGAGACUCGGUGAAAUCAUAGUACCUGUGAAGAUGCAGGUUACCCGCGACAGGACGGAAAGACCCCGUGGAGCUUUACUGUAGCCUGAUAUUGAAAUUCGGCACAGCUUGUACAGGAUAGGUA
RNAcentral lists this ribosomal RNA (533 nucleotides) under Staphylococcus aureus. RNAcentral describes it as "partial 23S ribosomal RNA". It matches the Rfam family "Bacterial large subunit ribosomal RNA", at positions 1615 to 2149 of the family's 2925-position model. Lineage: Bacteria; Bacillati; Bacillota; Bacilli; Caryophanales; Staphylococcaceae. The record is from RNAcentral.